This 554-nucleotide ribosomal RNA is filed under the name cf. Coryphasia sp. Brazil. Its description in RNAcentral is "partial 16S ribosomal RNA". The stretch from base 167 to 464 matches the Rfam family "Bacterial large subunit ribosomal RNA", at positions 2074 to 2646 of the family's 2925-position model. The record is from RNAcentral. Lineage: Eukaryota; Metazoa; Arthropoda; Arachnida; Araneae; Salticidae.
UUAAUAGUAAAAUCUGCUCAAUGUUUAUAAAUAGCCGCAAUUUGUGCUAAGGUAGCAUAAUCAUUUGUCUUUUAAAUGAAGACUAGAACAAAAGAUUUAACAUUUCAAUUUUUUUAUUUAAAUAAAAAAUUUAAAUUUUUAAAAUGUAAAAAAACAUUUAUUUAAAAGAAAGACGACAAGACCCUAUUGAACUUUACUUCAAGUUUAACUGGGGUAGUAAAUUAAUUAUUAUUUUAAUUUAAUAUUUUAAAUAUAUAACUAAUAUUAUUAAAUAAUUCAGUUACCAUAGGGAUAACAGCGCAAUUAAUUUUUAGAGUUCUCAUUUAAAAAAUAGAUUACGACCUCGAUGUUGAAUUAAUUACCUUUUCAUAAAGUAAACUUUAAAUAAGGAAGUCUGUUCGACUUUUAAAAAAUUACAUGAUUUGAGUUCAGACCGGUAUAAGCCAGGUCGGUUUCUAUCUUCUAAAAAAUUUCUUACAGUACGAAAGGGCCCAAGAAUAUUUUAUAAAUUAAUUGGCAGACAAAUGCAUUAGAAUUAGAAUCUAAUAAAUCUU